GGAUAAACCCGGAUAGGUGAAGAUGCCUGGAAUGGUGCUUCACCCAAACACCUCCGGGUGCCCAAGGAUGGGUCUGCGGCCGAUUAGGUAGUUGGUAGGGUAACGGCCUACCAAGCCCAUCAUCGGUACGGGUUGUGAGAGCAAGAGCCCGGAGAUGGAACCUGAGACAAGGUUCCAGGCCCUACGGGGCGCAGCAGGUGCGAAACCUCCGCAAUGCACGCAAGUGCGACGGGGGAACCCCAAGUGCCACUCUUAACGGGGUGGCUUUUCAGAAGUGUAAAAAGCUUCUGGAAUAAGGGCUGGGCAAGACCGGUGCCAGCCGCCGCGGUAACACCGGCAGCUCAAGUGGUAGCCGCUUUUAUUGGGCCUAAAGCGUCCGUAGCCGGUCUGAUAAGUCUCUGGUGAAAUCCCACAGCUUAACUGUGGGAAUUGCUGGAGAUACUAUCAUGACUCGAGGUCGGGAGAGGCUGGAGGUACUCCCAGGGUAGGGGUGAAAUCCUGUAAUCCUGGGAGGACCACCUGUGGCGAAGGCGUCCAGCUGGAACGAACCUGACGGUGAGGGACGAAAGCCAGGGGCGCGAACCGGAUUAGAUACCCGGGUAGUCCUGGCCGUAAACGAUGUGGACUUGGUGUUGGGAUGGCUUCGAGCUGCCCCAGUGCCGAAGGGAAGCUGUUAAGUCCACCGCCUGGGAAGUACGGCCGCAAGGCUGAAACUUAAAGGAAUUGGCGGGGGAGCAAAUCCCGCGGCCA
Molecule: ribosomal RNA, 750 nt
Filed under: uncultured archaeon
Lineage: Archaea
Description: bacterial SSU rRNA
Rfam family: Archaeal small subunit ribosomal RNA
Source: RNAcentral